Molecule: ribosomal RNA, 154 nt
Filed under: uncultured Chlamydiales bacterium
Lineage: Bacteria; Pseudomonadati; Chlamydiota; Chlamydiia; Chlamydiales
Description: partial 16S ribosomal RNA
Rfam family: Bacterial small subunit ribosomal RNA
Source: RNAcentral
CUUCUACGGGAGGCUGCAGUCGAGAAUCUUUCGCAAUGGGCGAAAGCCUGACGAAGCGACGCCGUGUGUGUGAUGAAGGCCUUAGGGUUGUAAAGCACUUUCGCCUGGGAACAAGAAACAAUAGCUAAUAUCUAUUGAAUUUGAGAGUACUAGG